Long non-coding RNA from Dreissena polymorpha, 219 nucleotides. RefSeq lists it as uncharacterized. The record is from RefSeq and is a predicted model, not a curated record. Lineage: Eukaryota; Metazoa; Mollusca; Bivalvia; Myida; Dreissenidae. The transcript is spliced from 4 exons.
UAGUCAUAUGUGUGACAAUAGGUAGGUGAAUAGUCUUAUGUGCAUUAAAAUGUAGGUGUAUAGUCCUAUGUGUGACAAAAGGUAGGUGAAUAGUCGUAUAUGUGACAAUAGGUAGCUGAAUAGUCUUAUGUGUGAGAAUAGGUAGUUGGAUAGUCUAAUGUGUGAGAAUAGGUAGAUGAAUAGUCUUAUGUGUGAGAAUAAGUAGGUGAAUAGUCUUAU